This 250-nucleotide ribosomal RNA is filed under the name uncultured Verrucomicrobiae bacterium. Its description in RNAcentral is "partial 16S ribosomal RNA". It matches the Rfam family "Bacterial small subunit ribosomal RNA", at positions 524 to 773 of the family's 1533-position model. Lineage: Bacteria; Pseudomonadati; Verrucomicrobiota; Verrucomicrobiia. The record is from RNAcentral.
UACAGAGGUCUCAAGCGUUGUUCGGAUUCACUGGGCGUAAAGGGUGCGUAGGUGGCACGGUAAGUCAGAUGUGAAAGCCCGGGGCUCAACCCCGGAAUGGCAUCCGAUACUGCUGAGCUGGAGGACUGGAGGGGAGACUAGAAUUCUCGGUGUAGCAGUGAAAUGCGUAGAUAUGAAGAGGAACACCAGUGGCGAAGGCGGGUCACUGGACAAUUACUGACACUGAGGCACGAAGGCCAGGGGAGCAAAC